AGAGUAAGGGUGCUCAGCGCCCGACCUCCAACCCUCUGUUGUUAAAACUACCUUGUUGCUUUGGCGGGACCGCCCGGUCUCCGAGCCGCCGGGGCCUUCACCGGCCCAGGCGAGCGCCCGCCAGAGUUAAACCAAACUCUUGUUAUAAACCGGUCGUCUGAGUAAAAGUUUUUAAUAAAUCAAAACUUUCAACAACGGAUCUCUUGGUUCUCGCAUCGAUGAAGAACGCAGCGAAAUGCGAUAAGUAAUGUGAAUUGCAGAAUUCAGUGAAUCAUCGAAUCUUUGAACGCACAUUGCGCCCCUUGGUAUUCCGAGGGGCAUGCCUGUUCGAGCGUCAUUACACCACUCAAGCACUGCUUGGUAUUGGGCGUCCGUCUCCCGCGAGGGGGGCGCGCCUCAAAGACCUCGGCGGAGCCUCACCGGCUUUAGGCGUAGUAGAAUUUAUUCGAACGUCUUUCAACGGAGAGGACUCCUCAGCCGACCGAAGCCUUUUAUUAUUCUAGGUUGACCUCGGAUCAGGUAGGGAUACCCGCUGAACUUAAGCAUAUCAAUAAGCGGAGGAAAAGAAACCAACAGGGAUUGCCCUAGUAACGGCGAGUGAAGCGGCAACAGCUCAAAUUUGAAAGCUAGCCUUCGGGUUCGCAUUGUAAUUUGUAGAGGAUGCUUUGGGGCAGCCGCCUGUCUAAGUUCCUUGGAACAGGACGUCAUAGAGGGUGAGAAUCCCGUAUGUGACAGGACAUGGCACCCUAUGUAAAGCUCCUUCGACGAGUCGAGUUGUUUGGGAAUGCAGCUCUAAAUGGGAGGUAAAUUUCUUCUAAAGCUAAAUACCGGCGAGAGACCGAUAGCGCACAAGUAGAGUGAUCGAAAGAUGAAAAGCACUUUGGAAAGAGAGUUAAAAAGCACGUGAAAUUGUUGAAAGGGAAGGGCAAGCAAUCAGACUUGUUCAAGCCGUUCGGCCGGUCUUCUGACCGGUUUACUCGGCUUGGGCAGGCCAGCAUCAGUUUCGGCGGUCGGAUAAAGGCCUAGGGAAUGUGGCCCUCACUUCGGUGGGGGUGUUAUAGCCCUGGGUGUAAUACGGCCAGCUGGGACUGAGGU
This 1095-nucleotide ribosomal RNA is filed under the name fungal endophyte. Its description in RNAcentral is "eukaryotic LSU rRNA". The stretch from base 506 to 1095 matches the Rfam family "Eukaryotic large subunit ribosomal RNA", at positions 1 to 599 of the family's 3401-position model. Lineage: Eukaryota; Fungi. The record is from RNAcentral.